This 72-nucleotide antisense RNA is filed under the name Streptomyces nanshensis. RNAcentral describes it as "ASpks sRNA". It matches the Rfam family "ASpks TB sRNA". Lineage: Bacteria; Bacillati; Actinomycetota; Actinomycetes; Kitasatosporales; Streptomycetaceae. The record is from RNAcentral.
CUUGAGCGAGCCGAGCCACAACGGGUUCCCGGCACGCCCCUGGCCGUAGGUCGCGAGCAGUGCCUGGGCCUC